RNAcentral lists this long non-coding RNA (1365 nucleotides) under Anas platyrhynchos platyrhynchos (common mallard). Its description in RNAcentral is "lncRNA (ENSAPLG00000023585.1)". Lineage: Eukaryota; Metazoa; Chordata; Aves; Anseriformes; Anatidae. The record is from RNAcentral.
CUUCAGACAAAUUUGAAAGGCAUUUAUGCAUCUAAUUCAUGCAAACUAAUGCUCCUGAAAAUUGCUGCUUUUUAAACCAAGUUUAUAAUAUCACUCAUUUUGGACGCUAAUCAUUUCCAACCAUUUGGAAUGCUGUUUUUAUUUGCAUAUCUCCAUGUAUGCAUGCUGAUCAUGACUAGCAUUGAUUCUUGGAUGUAAUACUGCUGUGUUCUUUGCCUGCCUUAAUAUUCAGUUUACUGUUACAGAAAAGCCAGACCACUCUUCCGAGCAAUGAGGUGUGUCUCACCGAUGUAAUGCAAGGACAUUCAACUAGAAUCGUGCUGCUGUAAAUACUGGAGUUACUAAUGCACUCUCAGAACACUACAUUAAUUAGGAGACCUGGAGGACAACUUACAAGUCCUUUGAAAGACUAGUUCCAGUUAUUGUAUGGAUCUGAUCCAUGCCAGGAAAGCUGUAUGUCUGCAGUCCUAUCAAAUGAAUGACCUCGCCUUUUAUGGUGAAUCUGAGCAGUGUCUCAUCGAGCCCCUCAGUGACUUCCAAGUGAUGACCAAAAGCCCAACUCUUCCCCACCUAUCAGUGAAAGACGUGAACUGUGGUCACUGAGAGUACAUGCACCUGCUUCCAGGAGACAAUCAGGGCACAAGCUUCUCACAUCUCCCCAGGGUCCAUGCAGGAUCUUAAGGGUAAGUUUGCCCUCUUUUGGGGGCUACUGUAUGGGAGUUAUAGUAUUUUUGCAUCAAACCCACAAAAACACCAAAAGCUGUUUUCUCAGUUGCUCCAGGCACUCCAGCAUCCUUGUUUAGUUGCUUUAUAAUGAAAUGUGUACACCUGAAAAUAUAUUUUGGGUCAUAUGCUGUAUUUUUCAACUAAUUACCUAAUAGAACAUUGGAUGAAAUUAAAACUGAAAAAUAUGUAUGAGCAAAUCUGGUGCAGAGACAAGGAUUAAAUGUAACCUUUCUCAUUGGGAAAUAUUGUUCACAGUAUCUCACCAAGACUUUUCAGAUAAGUUUCAUUAAAAUCUUUCAGUAAUUAGAUUUGGUUCUACUGUCAAAUGAAAGUUUCUGCCUGACAAAUUCCUUUAGAUUAAUGCAGAAAUUCAAAGAAGAAUUUGGGUUGCUUUUGAUGAGCAUCUAUAUUUUUCUGUUGAUGUUGUACUCGUAUAUUCCCUUUAUAAAGUGGAUGCCAGAAGCUUUUUUUCCCCUCUGGCCAACUUCACAUUCGUAUACUUUUUGAAUUUAAACUAAAAGAUUUAUUAAAAGAGGGGAAAAAAGAAACCAAACCACCCUCCCUCCCCUCCAAAAAAAAAAACACAACACAAAAUAAUAAUAAUAAUAAUAAUAAUAAUAAAACAACCACACACACACA